GUUGCUUUGGCUGAGUGGUCUAGGCGUGUGCCUGCUUAGUACAUGGUGUUACCCGCGAGAGUUCGAAUUUCUCAGGCAACG
RNAcentral lists this transfer RNA (81 nucleotides) under Ipomoea nil (Japanese morning glory). It matches the Rfam family "tRNA". From Rfam's summary of the family: Transfer RNA (tRNA) molecules are approximately 80 nucleotides in length. The record is from Rfam by way of RNAcentral. Lineage: Eukaryota; Viridiplantae; Streptophyta; Magnoliopsida; Solanales; Convolvulaceae.